CAUCGGUCAAUGGCAAUCCCUCCAUGAAUCUGCUUUUCAAUUCCCCAUAUCCACAAGAUUGUAUGAUCGUUGACCCUUUUUUCCUUAUUAGAAAUAAAGUGUCCAAAUGUUCGUAUGUUUGUUCCCUCUCAAGUUUCACAGCUAGUUGUUUCAGCUUGUUCAUCACCCUACUUUUGGAUUUCUUUAACGCUUUAAUUUUACAGUUCCUUUCCUCC
RNAcentral lists this long non-coding RNA (215 nucleotides) under Mytilus galloprovincialis (Mediterranean mussel). The record is from RNAcentral. Lineage: Eukaryota; Metazoa; Mollusca; Bivalvia; Mytilida; Mytilidae.